AGUUGAAGAAGACGAAAGACGAG
Molecule: small nuclear RNA, 23 nt
Filed under: Arabidopsis thaliana (thale cress)
Lineage: Eukaryota; Viridiplantae; Streptophyta; Magnoliopsida; Brassicales; Brassicaceae
Description: snRNA_18003
Source: RNAcentral